Molecule: non-coding RNA, 21 nt
Filed under: Caenorhabditis elegans
Lineage: Eukaryota; Metazoa; Nematoda; Chromadorea; Rhabditida; Rhabditidae
Source: RNAcentral
UCUCAAGAAACUCAAUUAAAA